RNAcentral lists this ribosomal RNA (1338 nucleotides) under uncultured bacterium. RNAcentral describes it as "16S ribosomal RNA". It matches the Rfam family "Bacterial small subunit ribosomal RNA", at positions 90 to 1428 of the family's 1533-position model. The record is from RNAcentral.
GGCGACCGGCGCACGGGUGAGUAACGCGUAUGCAACCUACCUGUAACAGAGGGAUAGCCCAUAGAAAUGCGGAUUAAUAUCUCAUAGUUCUAUUAGAUCGCAUGAUUUGAUAGAUAAAGCUCCGGCGGUUACAGAUGGGCAUGCGUGACAUUAGCUAGUUGGUAAGGUAACGGCUUACCAAGGCUACGAUGUCUAGGGGUUCUGAGAGGAUGAUCCCCCACACUGGUACUGAGACACGGACCAGACUCCUACGGGAGGCAGCAGUGAGGAAUAUUGGUCAAUGGGCGCAAGCCUGAACCAGCCAUCCCGCGUGCAGGAUGACGGCCCUAUGGGUUGUAAACUGCUUUUAUACACCAAGAAAAACAUCCACGUGUGGGUGCCCGACGGUAGUCCCACAAAGGAAGCAUCGGCUAACUCCGUGCCAGCAGCCGCGGUAAUACGGAGGAUGCAAGCGUUAUCCGGAUUCAUUGGGUUUAAAGGGUGCGCAGGUGGGAAAAUAAGUCAGUGGUGAAAUACUGCCGCUUAACGGUAGAAUUGCCAUUGAUACUGUUUUUCUUGAGUAUGGUUGAGGUAGGUGGAAUGUGUUGUGUAGCGGUGAAAUGCAUAGAUAUGACACAGAACGCCGAUUGCGAAGGCAGCUUACUAAGCCAUUACUGACGCUGAGGCACGAAAGCGUGGGGAUCGAACAGGAUUAGAUACCCUGGUAGUCCACGCCGUAAACGAUGCUCACUCGCUGUUUGCGAUACACAGCAAGCGGCCAAGCGAAAGCAUUAAGUGAGCCACCUGGGGAGUACGAUCGCAAGGUUGAAACUCAAAGGAAUUGACGGGGGCCCGCACAAGCGGAGGAACAUGUGGUUUAAUUCGAUGAUACGCGAGGAACCUUACCUGGGCUUGAACGUAUAACGACGUCACGCGAAAGCGUGAUUCCCUUCGGGGCUGCUUACAAGGUGCUGCAUGGUUGUCGUCAGCUCGUGCCGUGAGGUGUCGGGUUAAGUCCCAUAACGAGCGCAACCCCUACAGCUAGUUGCCAGCGGGUCAUGCCGGGGACUCUAACGAAACUGCCGGUGUAAACCGUGAGGAAGGUGGGGAUGACGUCAAAUCAGCACGGCCCUUAUGUCCAGGGCUACACACGUGUUACAAUGGUCGGUACAAAGGGCAGCUACUUGGUGACAAGAUGCUAAUCUCUAAAACCGGUCUCAGUUCGGAUCGAAGUCUGCAACUCGACUUCGUGAAGCUGGAUUCGCUAGUAAUCGCGCAUCAGCAAUGGCGCGGUGAAUACGUUCCCGGGCCUUGUACACACCGCCCGUCAAACCAUGGGAGCUGGGGGUGCCUGAAGUC